AUAAUGAUACACUUGCAUAGCCACAGCUCGAGCGUGAUAAAACCGUCGCAAGCAAUGGGUGCAACUCGGACAGAGUCGGAGUGGUGAAAUUCCAGUGG
This is a non-coding RNA of Clostridium sp. CAG:343, 98 nucleotides long. Lineage: Bacteria; Bacillati; Bacillota; Clostridia; Eubacteriales; Clostridiaceae. The record is from Rfam.